This 249-nucleotide ribosomal RNA is filed under the name uncultured bacterium. RNAcentral describes it as "partial 16S ribosomal RNA". It matches the Rfam family "Bacterial small subunit ribosomal RNA", at positions 524 to 776 of the family's 1533-position model. The record is from RNAcentral.
UACGUAGGGUGCGAGCGUUAAUCGGAAUUACUGGGCGUAAAGCGUGCGCAGGCGGUUUGUUAAGACAGAUGUGAAAUCCCCGGGCUUAACCUGGGAACUGCAUUUGUGACUGGCAAGCUAGAGUAUGGCAGAGGGGGUAGAAUUCCACGUGUAGCAGUGAAAUGCGUAGAGAUGUGGAGGAAUACCGAUGGCGAAGGCAGCCCCCUGGCCAUACUGACGCUCAUGCACGAAAGCGUGGGAGCAAACAGG